CUGGUAGUCCACGCCGUAAACGUUGGGAACUAGAUGUGGGGUCCAUUCCACGGAUUCCGUGUCGCAGCUAACGCAUUAAGUUCCCCGCCUGGGGAGUACGGCCGCAAGGCUAAAACUCAAAGGAAUUGACGGGGGCCCGCACAAGCGGCGGAGCAUGCGGAUUAAUUCGAUGCAACGCGAAGAACCUUACCAAGGCUUGACAUGCACCUGAAAAGGCUGGAAACAGUCUCCUCGCAAGACAGGUGCACAGGUGGUGCAUGGUUGUCGUCAGCUCGUGUCGUGAGAUGUUGGGUUAAGUCCCGCAACGAGCGCAACCCUCGUUCUAUGUUGCCAGCGCGUAAUGGCGGGAACUCAUAGGAGACUGCCGGGGUCAACUCGGAGGAAGGUGGGGAUGACGUCAAAUCAUCAUGCCCCUUAUGUCUUGGGCUUCACGCAUGCUACAAUGGCCGGUACAAAGGGCUGCAAUACCGUAAGGUGGAGCGAAUCCCAAAAAGCCGGUCUCAGUUCGGAUUGAGGUCUGCAACUCGACCUCAUGAAGUCGGAGUCGCUAGUAAUCGCAGAUCAGCAACGCUGCGGUGAAUACGUUCCCGGGCCUUGUACACACCGCCCGUCAAGUCAUGAAAGUCGGUAACACCCGAAGCCGGUGGCCCAACCCUUGUGGAGGGAGCCGUCGAAGGUGGGAUCGGUGA
RNAcentral lists this ribosomal RNA (689 nucleotides) under uncultured bacterium. RNAcentral's name for it is "bacterial SSU rRNA". It matches the Rfam family "Bacterial small subunit ribosomal RNA", at positions 787 to 1474 of the family's 1533-position model. The record is from RNAcentral.